RNAcentral lists this transfer RNA (77 nucleotides) under Clostridia bacterium. Its description in RNAcentral is "tRNA-Arg". It matches the Rfam family "tRNA". Rfam says of the family: Transfer RNA (tRNA) molecules are approximately 80 nucleotides in length. Their secondary structure includes four short double-helical elements and three loops (D, anti-codon, and T loops). Further hydrogen bonds mediate the characteristic L-shaped molecular structure. tRNAs have two regions of fundamental functional importance: the anti-codon, which is responsible for specific mRNA codon recognition, and the 3' end, to which the tRNAs corresponding amino acid is attached (by aminoacyl-tRNA synthetases). tRNAs cope with the degeneracy of the genetic code in two manners: having more than one tRNA (with a specific anti-codon) for a particular amino acid; and 'wobble' base-pairing, i.e. permitting non-standard base-pairing at the 3rd anti-codon position. The record is from RNAcentral. Lineage: Bacteria; Bacillati; Bacillota; Clostridia.
GUGCCCGUAGCUCAGUUGGAUAGAGCAACGGCCUUCUAAGCCGUCGGUCGGGGGUUCGAAUCACUUCGGGUACGCCA